RNAcentral lists this ribosomal RNA (251 nucleotides) under uncultured bacterium. RNAcentral describes it as "partial 16S ribosomal RNA". It matches the Rfam family "Bacterial small subunit ribosomal RNA", at positions 525 to 775 of the family's 1533-position model. The record is from RNAcentral.
ACGUAUGGUGCAAGCGUUAUCCGGAUUUACUGGGUGUAAAGGGAGCGCAGGCGGUGUGGCAAGUCUGAUGUGAAAGCCCGGGGCUCAACCCCGGUACUGCAUUGGAAACUGUCGUACUAGAGUGUCGGAGGGGUAAGCGGAAUUCCUAGUGUAGCGGUGAAAUGCGUAGAUAUUAGGAGGAACACCAGUGGCGAAGGCGGCUUACUGGACGAUAACUGACGCUGAGGCUCGAAAGCGUGGGGAGCAAACAG